AGUUGGGGGUUGCCUUAGCCUAUGGAACUGCUCAAUCAGUCAGCACUUUAAUGCUGCACAUCUCUGGCUUUGAAUAUUCUAUUCUGUAACAGAGUUCUGGAAGUGGAUAAAGGGUGGCACAGCAAGGAUGUUCACAACGUUGGUUCAGUAACCACUUAUGGGAAAAUGUUUCCCAAGGGAGAGACAAAAUUGGACUUGCAACUCUGUAGCUUCAACUUCUUUGAGACCUGAGAGGCUCACAACACAGUGCUGUUAGUCACAUUUCCAGUGAUUGCUGCAGUGGGUGGGAUCCCUGUGUGUCUGGUUACUCCUGGCAGGAUGGUUUAUCUGAAGGGGAAAGGCCUCACCCAUUAGCUUCUAGUCCACUGGCUGUCUGCUGAAUGUUUUACAUCCCCAGGUGCUUUAGUAAUCUUCUUCCCUUAAUACCAAGACAUUUUGCUGAUUAUCAAUAUGUUCCUUGGACUAGUGAGGCUUUACUGGCUGUUGUUCAAAAACAAUUAUUUAGACACCAUACACAAAUGGUGGUCAAGGAGGGAUGCCUGAAGAUCCCUCUCCUUCACACCUUACCAGAAGAAUAUUCUUUUUUCUGGGCUAUGUGGUCUUGGUCCUCCAUCUCUUCUGUGUCAUGAACCUAACAUUCCUCAUUGGCUAACCACUGGUCUCAUGUCAAGAUGAGCCAAGACGUCUUUCCUUCCCUCCAGCCAGUGUGGGUGCUUUGACAGAAUGUGCUGGACUGAUCUCAGACUGAAGGUGACAUUUCUGUGUCUGCCUUGUCUUUGGUGAAUGUCACAGUGCCCUUGGAUGAGGCAUUGAAUCUGAGCAUGACAACAUGAGAGGUAAAGCAAGGAACAAUCCUCCUUUGUUCCCAUGUACCAGUGGGAUUCAAAAUCCAACUGGAGGAGGCAGGAGGUGCAUUUUCUUAGUGUUUUGUGUUGGCCACUUCAGGUGUUAAUUACAAUUACCCAGCAAUUAUGACACCUCAUAUUGGAGGCCACCCAAUUGAGAAAUGUUCUCACUGCAUCAACAAGGACAGCUGUGAGAAGUCAAGUGUGUUGGAGUCAGACUUAUCUCACCAUCUUCAGGUGUCCAAAUUCAGCACCAUCAACUUGACUCUGAGACUCUCUGUAUUUUGAAAUUCGGGAUGGAAUGAGCCAUCAUGGUUCCUGUGGAAACAUGAGGGACCAACAGAAUAUAACCUGUGACACAGAAGGCUGCUGCCCUGAGGAUGGUUCCCUGCAAGCAGAUGGCAGGCAGAAAAUAUGCCAGAAAUGCUCUGCCUCAGAAGGUUCCCUUUCAGGCAUUGCUGGCUGGUGUGGGCGCCAGCUACAGAGGAGUUCUUCAAGGCUAAGGCAGCAUGGAAAACCUGCAAGGGAAAAACAUGAAACCAAACAAGGGAAGAAGACCCAAGCAAUUAAUAUUCUCCAGUGAGGGUUUUAUUUCAGCCCGUCGCUCCCCCCCUCUGCUUAGCACUGUAGAUACACACCUCGUGGGAGAGCAGCUCUGCCCAGGGAGGUGUAGCAUCCACACAGGCAGGAGAAGGGCUGGGAGGCAGCACGUCCCCAGCUGAGUUUUACAGACUCAGAGCAGAUUUCAGCAGCUGACGUCAUGACUGGUGUGAGGUUGGUGGGGACGUCAGCAGCAGAGGCAGCAAUUAAACCCCUGCACUCUGGCCAGAGGCACAGUCGUGUCCUGCUUCAUCCGAAGCAGGGCUGGUCUGACACAGCAGAAGCCUUUAUGUAACCAGGCCAGAUUUUCACUUUUGGAGCAACAGUUUCAGAAGAACUACAGAAACCACAGACAGGAUUUGUUGCUACUUAUGAGCAGGGGGUGAGCUCUCUUCUCUGCCUCCUGUCUCGCACCUCACUGGGUGACAAGUAUGUCAGGGAGUGAGAGCUGGUCUUGCAGCUGACUACAGGCUUCUGUUUUUAUUCCCAUUUCCUCUGUGCUUUCUGUUGGGAUAGCAGAGGUUUGCACUGGCAUGUGAGACAUUUUCUUAUUGCUCUCUACAACCGCAGUCGCAUUUCAGAAGCGUUUUGGCACAUUGCCCUGCUGGCAGCCCACAGUCGCAGUAGCAGAUUCUCAGGCUGAAAUGUUUUUGUUGCAAUGCAUUUAGCCCAUCUCUAUUAUUGCUCAAGCUUUUCUCUUCUCCCUCAUCUGCUCUGGCCGUAUCAGGAAGUAUGAACCUUUUUCAGGGAAUCUUUAAUAUUUUUCAGCAUUUGGAGUGAACCUGAAUAAACACUUGUUAGGUAAAAAAGCUUAAUUGGAAAGACUUAGUGUGUUUCUUGGCUUGUUGUUCUGGCUGACACCAUCUCUUGCAGACACAGUAUUACGACAG
Molecule: long non-coding RNA, 2335 nt
Organism: Passer domesticus (house sparrow)
Lineage: Eukaryota; Metazoa; Chordata; Aves; Passeriformes; Passeridae
Exons: 4
Source: RefSeq, a predicted model, not a curated record